CCUACGGGCGGCAGCAGUGAGGAAUAUUGGUCAAUGGACGCAAGUCUGAACCAGCCAUGCAGCGUGCAGGAUGACGGCUCUAUGAGUUGUAAACUGCUUUUGUACGAGGGUACACCCCGAUACGUGUAUCAGGUUAAAAGUAUCGUACGAAUACGGAACGGCUAACUCCGUACCAGCAGCCGCGGUACUACGGAGGAUCCGAGCGUUAGCCGGAUUGAUUGGGUUUAAAGGGUGCGUAGGCGUUUUGAUAAGUUAGAGGUGAAAUGUCGGGGCUCAACCCCGAAACUGCCUCUAAUACUGUUGGACUAGAGAAUAGUUGCGGUAGGCGGAAUGUAUGGUGUAGCGGUGAAAUGCUCAGAGAUCAUACAGAACACCGAUUGCGAAGGCAGCUUACCAAACUAUAUCUGACGUUGAGGCACGAAAGCGUGGGUAGCAAACAGGAUUAGAUACCCGGGUAGUC
Molecule: ribosomal RNA, 460 nt
Filed under: uncultured bacterium
Lineage: Bacteria
Description: partial 16S ribosomal RNA
Rfam family: Bacterial small subunit ribosomal RNA
Source: RNAcentral